Long non-coding RNA from Carassius gibelio (silver crucian carp), 1710 nucleotides. RefSeq lists it as uncharacterized. Lineage: Eukaryota; Metazoa; Chordata; Actinopteri; Cypriniformes; Cyprinidae. The transcript has 3 exons. The record is from RefSeq and is a predicted model, not a curated record.
AAAGUUGUGCAUUAUGAGGAGAUCUAUCAAAUGAUAUGCAUACUGUGUUGAUAUGUGAAACACCACGUGAUUACAGAGCCAUAAAACUUGUUAGCGCCAACUAGUGGCCGAUUUCUUUCAAAAUUCUUACAGACCUUAAGGUUCAUGAGUCGAACGUACCCAGCGAGUUUCGUUCCGAUCAACAUCCGUUAACCCUUUCAAAUAGGUGCUUAAAUUUGUUUGGCCAAUGACGGCCAUGUUUUUUGAGAUAUGCAAAUGUCCUCAUAAGUACUUGUGCCCCUUCAGACCAAGACACUGCAUACCGAUUUUCAAGUUGAUCGAGCCAACGGUUGCCUAGUUAUAGCAAUUUAUGUGUUUUUUCUAUCUUAUAGCGCCCCCAAGUGGCAGAGAUGCGCAAUUUUUUUGAUUUGACCAAAGAUUGAGCUCAUACAUAUGUGUACCGAGUUUGGUGAAGAUAUCUCAUUCCGUUCAAGAGUUAUAGUCAAAAUAGUAUUUGGCUAACGUUAGCAUAGACGCUUUUUGGCGUACUGUUUCGCGUAAGAAUUUAAAUUUCAACUUUUUUUUAAUAAUUAUUGAUAUUGAGUGUCCAGGGAAUAUUUAUGAAGUGGUUUGGUUCUGAUUGGUUGAAAAUCCUAGGACUAGUUCGCAAAAGUAGGUUUCGGAUAUAGCUCGAUUUUGCGAGAAAACGGUGCGUCGUAGACCCCAAAAAGGCGCCGUGCACUUUUGUUCGGGCUAACCCAAGGAUUGCAACAAUGCCAUGUUUUUGAGUCUACGGCUAACGGUAUACGAUUUACGGCCAAAAAUGUCCAAAAUUUUUGCUUUUUGCGCUGUAGCGCCCCCGUUAGGCCGAUUGGGCUGAGACUUUGAUAAGUUCUCCCCAAAUUGAGCUCUACGAUCUGUCCAAAUUUCAGCUCUCUAGGCCUUACGGUUUGGGCUGCACGUUCAGUUUUAGGGCAGAAGAAUAAUAAUAAUAAUAAUAAUAAUAAUAAUAAUAAUAAUAAUAAUAAAAAUCCUAACAAAUACAAUAGGGUUUCAGCACUGCGUGCUUGAACCCCUAAUAAUAAUAAUUAAAGCUGCAAGCAGCAUUUUACCGGGGUUCAAGCAUUUAAGGCAUCUGAGGUGGUCAGAGCCAACCUGGAUGUUUGGAUGACAUUUAAACACAUCCAAAAUGGAGAACAGGUUAACAGACAGACACACACACUGAAAGUAAAUGAUUAGACUAAUAUAUGUAUACUCUAUAAGCAUAUGCACACACACACACACACACACAAAGACACACAUAUACAUGCACAAACAUUUUGUUGCAGAUAUAGGUAUUUGAAAUAAGUGAUAGGUGACAUAAAAUUAUUGCAAGUCUUCUCUUUUUCAGAGUUUAGAUGUCAUUUUCAGGUUAAACUGUAAUCAUAAUGUGGCAAAAUUGUAAAAACUGAUACAUCUGUAUAAACAAAAUGGAAAACAUCAAUUCAAUGAGAUUUAAAAUGUUAUAACAGUUAAUUUAUUAAUGUUUUGGCAUGAAUUCAUGAAAACAGUACUGUUUAACUAGCUGAAUGAGCCCAUUAGUGGUCUUCCGCUGCCAUCUAGUGGUUAUAAAUUGCAUUUACUCAAACAACACUGUGUUUUAAAACAUAACUGUUAUAGUGUUGUAAUUUUUUUUUGCCCAAUCUCUCUUAAAUUUUGCAUGCUUGUUUAGAAUGAAAUUAUGCAUUGUUU